CCUACGGGAGGCAGCAGUGGGGAAUAUUGGGCAAUGGACGCAAGCCUGACCCAGCAACGCCGCGUGAAGGAAGACGGCCCUCGGGUUGUAAACUUCUUUUGUCAGGGACGAAAACACUGACGGUACCUGACGAAUAAGCCACGGCUAACUACGUGCCAGCAGCCGCGGUAAUACGUAGGUGGCAAGCGUUAUCCGGAUUUACUGGGUGUAAAGGGCGUGUAGGCGGGAGAGUAAGUCAGAUGUGAAAUUCCGGGGCUCAACCCUGGAAUUGCAUUUGAAACUGUUUUUCUUGAGUGAUGGAGAGGCAGGCGGAAUUCCGUGUGUAGCGGUGAAAUGCGUAGAGAUACGGAGGAACACCAGUGGCGAAGGCGGCCUGCUGGACAUUAACUGACGCUGAGGCGCGAAAGCGUGGGGAGCAAACAGGAUUAGAUACCCGAGUAGUC
Molecule: ribosomal RNA, 443 nt
Filed under: uncultured bacterium
Lineage: Bacteria
Description: partial 16S ribosomal RNA
Rfam family: Bacterial small subunit ribosomal RNA
Source: RNAcentral